CCUCAAAUCAGGUAGGACUACCCGCUGAACUUAAGCAUAUCAAUAAGCGGAGGAAAAGAAACUAACAAGGAUUCCCCUAGUAACUGCGAGUGAAGCGGGAAAAGCUCAAAUUUAAAAUCUGGCGGUCUUUGGCUGUCCGAGUUGUAAUCUAGAGUAGUGUUACCCGCGUUGGACCGUGUACAAGUCUCCUGGAAUGGAGCGUCAUAGAGGGUGAGAAUCCCGUCUUUGACACGGACUGCCAAGGCUUUGUGGUGCGCUCUCAAAGAGUCGAGUUGUUUGGGAAUGCAGCUCAAAAUGGGUGGUAAAUGCCAUCUAAAGCUAAAUAUUGGCGAGAGACCGAUAGCGAACAAGUACCGUGAGGGAAAGAUGAAAAGAACUUUGGAAAGAGAGUUAAACAGUACGUGAAAUUGCUGAAAGGGAAACGCUUGAAGUCAGUCGCGUUGGCUGGAAAUCAACCUUACUUUUGUUGGGUGUACUUUCUGGUUGACGGGUCAGUAUCAGUUUUGACCGGUGGAUAAAGGUGCAGGGAAUGUGGCUCCCUCGGGAGUGUUAUAGCACUUGUAUCAUAUACAUCGGUUGGGACUGAGGUACUCAGCACGCCGCAAGGCCGGGUUUCGAACCACGUUCGUGCUUAGGAUACUGGCAUAAU
Molecule: ribosomal RNA, 649 nt
Filed under: uncultured Basidiomycota
Lineage: Eukaryota; Fungi; Basidiomycota
Description: LSU rRNA
Rfam family: Eukaryotic large subunit ribosomal RNA
Source: RNAcentral